RNAcentral lists this transfer RNA (89 nucleotides) under Terriglobales bacterium. RNAcentral describes it as "Acidobacteriales bacterium (soil metagenome) tRNA-Leu". It matches the Rfam family "tRNA". Rfam says of the family: Transfer RNA (tRNA) molecules are approximately 80 nucleotides in length. Their secondary structure includes four short double-helical elements and three loops (D, anti-codon, and T loops). Further hydrogen bonds mediate the characteristic L-shaped molecular structure. tRNAs have two regions of fundamental functional importance: the anti-codon, which is responsible for specific mRNA codon recognition, and the 3' end, to which the tRNAs corresponding amino acid is attached (by aminoacyl-tRNA synthetases). tRNAs cope with the degeneracy of the genetic code in two manners: having more than one tRNA (with a specific anti-codon) for a particular amino acid; and 'wobble' base-pairing, i.e. permitting non-standard base-pairing at the 3rd anti-codon position. The record is from RNAcentral. Lineage: Bacteria; Pseudomonadati; Acidobacteriota; Terriglobia; Terriglobales.
GCCCGGGUGGCGGAACUGGCAGACGCACGGGACUUAAAAUCCCGGGUCGCGGAAGCGACGUACCGGUUCGAUUCCGGUCCCGGGCACCA